This 54-nucleotide transfer RNA is filed under the name Halotydeus destructor. Its description in RNAcentral is "tRNA-Ser". Lineage: Eukaryota; Metazoa; Arthropoda; Arachnida; Trombidiformes; Penthaleidae. The record is from RNAcentral.
GUCUUUUCCAAAUUGUCUUGAAAACAAUAAACAGGUUUAAUAACCUAAAAGACU